GUGGAGCUCACACCACGCCUUCCCACCAUUCUUAUCCACUCAUUCCCCAUGCAUCUCUCUUCACCCGUUCUCAUCCACACCAAUCUCUCUAUCUCUCCCCUUCUCUCUCUCUCGUGUAGGCUCGAGUUCGGGGAGGAGCUGCUCCGGCCGCCGCUCCCCCGCCAGGGGCGAGCCGCGCAGGCCGCCAUGUAUGCUCGAGCGCUCGGGCGCGGCCCCAUGCCGGCCGCUGCUCCCCCGCGGUGAGGGUGACCCGCGCCGGCCACUGCUCCCCCGCGGCUUCCCCCGCGACGGCCGUCGGAGAAUCUUCGAGCGGCGGCUAUAGCGGGCAGCUUCGGGCGGCGGGCAACAGGUGGAGCGCAUGCGGUGGGGGCUGGGCAGCUGCUCCCCUGUGCCUUCCCUCUCCUCAGUCGCCGCUCCCCCGUCAGGGGGCGAGCCACGCCGGCCGCCGGAUGAGCUCCGGGCAGCUCCGGGAUAUUGCAGAGGAGGAGCGAAGGCCCCUGACGGAACCUGAUCGAUUGGAAGAACAACGCGUGAGCACCCGGACCUCCUCCUGUUCUUACCUCUGCAAGUCAACCAGCAACUGGGAUUUCCAGAUCAGGAUGCGUUCGGCCUUUUAAUCAAGGUGAUGCGGUUGUGUAACCAGGAGUGGAGUUUAGGACCUAGAAUCCAAUUAAAUAGUUGUGUAAUCUUCCAAGUAAUAACACUUUGCCGUUUAGGACCUAGAAUCCAAUUAAAUAAUUUUGUAAUCUUCCAAGUAAUAACACUUUGCUUACUUUGCAUAUGCUGUAUACAUCCCUGAAUGUUGGGUGUAGAGGCUGGAACUUUUCUUCCUUUCUCUAAAAAAUAACACAUUGCAGGCUCGUAUUAAGUAUUAAGCUUAAGCCAUGCAACUGAGCAACAGAUUUCAAAAUGGCGAGCACAUAUCUUACUCUUACUAAGAAGUGACCCCUUAUUUUAAAGCCUUUGCAUCAAGAGGAGCCCUAAAAAAAGCGAGAAUUUUAGAAAUUAAAAAGAAACUCAUAGCAUUUAACCAUCAAUUUUUUGAUACACUAGAUUAAAGUUGCUACAAAAAGCCACCGCAAUGAAUUGAGCAUACUUUAGUCGGUUAGAUCAUGGUGGAGUGGAUGAGCGAGGACAGGUUGGAACAUGUAUGUACCUAUCCCUUAAUUUUUUCAAACCCGUAGGAAACGUCAACAAUAAACGGACAGAGGUUGUAUUUCAAUGCAAUAACCUUGUUCAAAUCUUUUCAAAGCGGCAUUAGUCUCCAAACAAAUGAAACGAUUAACUAAUUAAUAAGCUUUGAUUCAGCACUGGUAAACAAAUUAAAGAUAGCAUUACAAGUACAAACUCCCACUACAUCAAAAACCAACAUAGGAGACACAUAAAUCAGUGACGUGUAAAGAAAACACGUCACUAAUGUAAGGUUAGUGACGGCCAUAGUUAAGCCGUGUCACUAAUGUCUUCGCCUAAGCACAAGAGCCUGCUUGCUAGAGACGGCUCUCACUGAGAUACGUCACUAAAAAUACCUAAUAAAAAUACCUAAUAAGUCAUCAGUGACGGGUCUAAUUAAGAUACGGUACCAAUGUUGCAAUCCCCUUUUUUUUAUCCGCAUCACUAAUAUGAGGUGUUUGGAUCUAUGAGCAGGCAGAAUUGAAAUUGUGUGGAUAACCUAGGCCUAGGCCACAACAGCCUUUCACCCGGCCCAAACAGGCCCCUGCUGCCUCCCUCCCUCAAGCGCCACGCCUCUUUCCCCCAAGUGCCGCCACCUCUCUGCGCCGCCUCCUCCCUUUCAACCCUAAUCCCUUUGCUCCCUAUGGUCGAGCGUCCCAGGCCUCGACCUCGGUCCCCUGUGCGCUAGCAGUCCGCCUCUGCUUCUCCUUCCUGUGCGCCGCUGGCCCACCGCCCUCCUCCCUCAUCCGGUCCUCCCUCACCGGAUCCGUGCCCAGGCGCCCACACAUCCGCACCCAGCUGCCCGGCAGCAGGCGCCCAAGCCAUUGUCGCGGCCGUUGCACCACGUGUCGGCGCCCGCUGUGACGCUGCCUCAGCCCUCGAUCCAAUACAAGUCACGGGAGGUCGAGCGCAAGGUAUCCUCCGUGAAGAGUCGCAACCCGCUGCCACCAUGCGGGACACCGGAUCCCACCUUGCCACCGUCACCCUCCGCGAGCGGGACGGCGGAUCCCACCUCGCCGUCGGCGCCCUCCGUGAGUGGGACGCUGGAUCCCACCUCGCCGCCGUCAACCCUCCGCAAGUAGGACUUUGGAUCCCACACUGCCACCACCGGCCUCAGCGGGUGCGACGCUGGUUCCCACCCUACCGCCGCCAGCCUUCGCGGGUGGUACAUUGGUUCCCACCCCGCCGCCACCGGCCUCCGUGGGUGCGACGCUUGUUCCCACCCUGCCGCCGCUGUGGAUCUCUAGCAGCUCCUCACGGUGACCUUUUCCCUCUUUCCCUCUCCUCUUUAUGUUACCUAGGUUUCGAUUUCAGUGUUUCGUCUCACGGAUUUAAAUCAGAGAUGUUACUAUGGAGAAAGGGAGAGGCUGAAGCUUGAGCUAGGGUUCUAUGUCUUAUUGGGAUCUCAAUGUUUCUCCUAAUAGGCAGAACUGAUCUUGACUAUAGGAAGGCAACCCAUUGAUUUUUAUGUUGGAGUAGAUAAUUUACUUGUAAGGCACCUGACUUGCAAUCAUUCAACAGUUUGCAAUCCAUCUUGUUUAUGCAUAACAGCUUUCUAGGUAGAGUUCUUUGGCGAAAUCUUUGUUCUGUGGAUAGAUUAACUGUCUUGGGUUGCUAAAUAAUUGUGCCCAACAAUCAGUUUGAUCAUCUUCUGUUAGCUUUUGUAUAGAAAAGAUCAAGAGUAUAAGAAAAAAUUAUUGGUUCAGAUGAAUAGUAUAUUUUGUACACAAAAAUGAGAUAGCUUUUCAAACUUGUAUUUUCCAGAAUGUGCAUAAACUUGUGCCCCUCUGUGUACUAACAGUUGUAGUUCCAAUUAGUUCUCCACUUGAAAUAUGUAUCCCUGCUGGCAAAGAACUCUUUUGCAUACAUCAAACUAGAGCAAAUUAGUUACAUAUGCAUUGAUGUUUUCCACGGCCUCGGCCUCGAUUCGGACAUAGGGCCCCCAAUCUGGUGAGCAAACUGUUCGAUUCUCUUCUCUCUGUCUCGUUUCUUAUGUUUGUUUAGUUGACACACCUCACUGCCUGUUUUAGCGCUGAAAUUGUGAUUGCUGCUGUACUGUUUGAAGGGAUUCCAGAUUUGCAUGCCAUGGAGGGCUACAGAUUAAAUAUGCUGGAAUCGCUCUGAUUUGGCGUGUGAUCCAUUCUCUGGUAUAUAUAUGGCUAUAUCUUGUGCGUUUGGCAUCUAAUACUUUGUUCACGUCAUGUUGCCUUUUAGGUCAGACUUGAAUUAGAAUUCCUUUGGCCAUGCACCUACAUGUCAUAUCUCAUCUAUAUCCUAUACUAGUGUCAUCUAUAUUUCCUGAGGCCUUAAUACAUAAGUUCUGUACAGUUGCUAAAGUAUAUUAAUGCCAUUGUAUUUAUGAUUAGGCUAUGAUGCAGUUUUGAAGCAGCGGGCUUAUCCAGCUUGAGCCAAAUCGCUAUCUGAUUGAUUACUGAAUGCUAUGUCAUGUAUAAUACAUAUCAUUUGCUUAAUUGUGGCACUUGGCAGUAGAAUGUGGCACUGUGGUGCCAAGAAGUUGAAGGAGUAAAGAAAUAUCACAACUCCUAAAGAUUUGGAUGUGAAGCUACAACAGUCAAUAGAAAUUGGUGAAAUCAUUGCAUGAGACUGUCGGUGUUUUACGUCAAGCCCACCGAGGGAUACUCCCGAGGUGGUAGGUUGUAGAUAGGGUAUCACCGAGAUCAGGAACUCGAAGGUGCAAGGAACACGAAACUUUAGACUGGUUCGGGCUACAAUGUAUGUAAUACCCUACAUACUGUGUGGUGGUUUGUAUUACCUUAGAUGUGGAUUGAUAUGUUGUCCCUCUGGAGGGGGUCUCUGCUUGCCCUUAUAUACUCUGUGGGAUAGGAUUACAGGUAUUCUAGUCCGGUACGAGCUUAGGAGUCCUACUCUGGUCGUACCGAGUAGCUUCCUUCUGUACCGACUAGUCCUACUCGUGUCCCAGUAUAUCACAAUAGAUAUAAGGUAUGUGACAUGCCUCAUCCCUUAUUUUAGAUAUUUCUAUGCCUUAUAAGCAGUUCCACUGCCACGGGUC
This is a long non-coding RNA of Panicum hallii, 4201 nucleotides long. RefSeq lists it as uncharacterized. The transcript has 3 exons. Lineage: Eukaryota; Viridiplantae; Streptophyta; Magnoliopsida; Poales; Poaceae. The record is from RefSeq and is a predicted model, not a curated record.